CCCCGCCGCGGGGAGGGAGGUGCCAGCGGCGCCCCGGGGCCGUGGCCGGCGCGGUCUAAGAGGGCUGCAGCGGAGCCGGGGCCCGAGGCGCAGCGGAGCAGCGGCGGGAGGAGCUCGGCGCGGCGCGGCGCGGCGGCGCCACGGACUUAUCUCCUUGGCCGAGGAGAGCGAGCCGCCGCCUGCGAGCCCUGGUCCUUGGCUAUUGGGGACAGGGUGAAAGACAAACUAAACGCCAAACGUCCCCCAGCGUCUGCGCCUUCCUGGUUUUGUGUUUUUUUUUUCUUCAACUAUUUCGAAAAAAGAUCUACUGUGUUUUUGGCAAUUUGUGCCGCGUGUGGAGUUCUUUUCCGCACACCCCUGACAAACAAAGGAAAAGGGGGAGGGGGACUGCGUUUCGCAGAAGACAUGCGUUCAGUCAGGAAGAGGUGGACUGCGUGCACGAUAAGUCUCCUCCUCAUCUUCUAUAAAACGAAAGAAAUAGCGCGGACUGAGGAGCGCCAGGAGGCACCGCUCGUCGGAGAUGGUGAACUGAGUUUGAGCAGAUCAAUGAUCAAUAGCUCUGAUAAGAUAAUUCGAAAGGGUGACUCCUCAAUCUUCCAGCAUGCUGUACGAGGUUGGAAAAUCAAUUCUUCUUUGGUACUGGAAAUAAGAAAGAACAUUCUUCGAUUUUUGGAUGCUGAAAGAGAUGUCUCAGUGGUGAAAAGUAGCUUCAAGCCGGGAGAUGUAAUCCAUUAUGUACUGGACAGGCAUCGCACCCUAAACAUUUCACAGGAUUUGCACAGCCUUCUCCCUGAAGUUUCCCCAAUGAAAAAUCGUCGAUUUAAAAACUGUGCAGUUGUUGGGAAUUCUGGCAUCCUUCUGGACAGUGGAUGUGGAAAAGACAUUGAUAGCCAUGACUUUGUUAUAAGGUGCAAUCUAGCUCCUGUGGUGGAGUUUGCUGCCGAUGUGGGAACUAAAUCUGAUUUUAUAACCAUGAACCCAUCAGUUGUACAAAGAGCAUUUGGAGGCUUUCGGAAUGAGAAUGACAGAGAAAAAUUUGUGCAUAGGCUGUCCAUGCUGAAUGACAGUGUCCUCUGGAUCCCUGCUUUCAUGGUCAAAGGUGGAGAGAAGCAUGUGGAAUGGGUUAAUGCUUUAAUCCUUAAGAAUAAAUUGAAGGUGCGAACCGCCUAUCCAUCACUGAGACUUAUUCAUGCUGUCAGAGGCUAUUGGCUGACAAACAAGGUCCACAUUAAACGACCCAGCACUGGUCUGCUCAUGUAUACGCUUGCCACCAGGUUUUGUGAUGAAAUUCACCUAUAUGGAUUUUGGCCAUUCCCAAAGGAUUUACAUGGAAAACCAGUUGGUGGCUUGGUUUGGUUUGGUUUGGUUUUCUGGUGCUGUGCUCAUGCUUCCUCUGCUCCUUUCAGUCCUAAUGUCAGUGUGAUCAUCCUCAUGGUUCAUGUGACCCUGUCCUUUCUGGGACAGCGUACCAUAAGAAAAGAAGAGCAAAGCUGCUUCUGCUCAGGUAGGCCAUCUAAGACACUGGCAGCUACUGGAUCUGUAUAGAAAAGGUAGAAAUAGGCAAGUACAGACAGUUCCUCAUUUCUACUAUGGUCUUCUGUUCUCAUGAUUAUCCCAUAUCAAUGGAUUUUUGCUCUCUGUAUUUGUUAAGUGCAUAUUUUUUUCAGGCACAAUAUCCUGUGGCAAAAUGUCUGGCAAUCAGUUUUCACUUUAUGCUAGGUAGAAAAUGCCUUCCUUUCAGGUCUGAUGUCUUACUUUAGGAGGUUAUGGUAAGUGGUAAACAACACUUGUAAGUUUGCAUCACAUUUAUGACUUUAUAGACAUUGAUUGAAAGGGAUGUUUCUGUAAGGAACUCUCAAGAAUGGUUACUUUAUUCUGAGUAUAAUGCUAAGUAAUAUUGCAUUCUGUCCAUUUUUUUAAAUUUUCCAAAAAGUAGAUUCCAAACAAAACUUGUUUUGAAACAAUCAAAGGAGCUCUGAAAACUGAGAGCUCUACUAGUCUCCCAGGACUUCCCAUCUUCUGGCUGUAUGGCAGAGAGAUGGGAAUACUAAAGUUUCUACUUCGGAGAAAUGCGGAUCUUUGAUUUUGCCACACUACACCACCUAUCUGAUGAAGUGAUCACAGUUUGAGCUCCUUCACAAAUCCCAGAGAAAUUAUUACAUUCCAAAAUGAAUUAAUCUAAGUUCCUACAGGAGCAGCUAUACAAACCUGAGUACCCAAAAUACACCUGGAUAUUUUUGCAUGCAAAGUGGAUGCAAAGCUGUUCAAAACCACUUUCUCUUGCUUGUGGGUAAACCAACAACAUGGUAGAGACACACAAGAAGAAAAAAUCUUGAGCUGCAUUGUCCUCUAAUACCAUGCAGCUAAGUUAAAGACCAUCUGAUCUUGCAAAGAAAUGGCUGUGUGAAAGCCAACGAGCAAACUGGACUGAAACCAUACAGCAAAAAAGCAUCAGAGGAAGGCAGGUUGAACCACCUUGGAAAAUGUCACCUUUGAUUCUUUUUAAGGGUGUUCCCCCAAGAACUGGAUAAAGCUGUAAAAUCUAACAUUGUAGACUCAUAAAGACAUGAUGAUAUUUAUGUCUAAAAAACAUAACCAAAAAUGGAGCCAAGGCUGAGUUCCCAUUGAGUUUUAGAACCACCAUAAGCAGAGUCCAGCAACCACAAAAAUAACCUAAAAAAGGAAAAAAAAAAACAAUGCUUAUACAUGACCCUUAUCUCUCACCCUCUCAAAUAAACAGCUUCAGCACUUCCAGUUUCUUAUUCAUAUGAAAGCCUCUGUGAGCAUCUAAAAGAUAUGUAUCUGAUAGAGGUUUGAGGUUUUUUAUCAUGUGGAAACUAUAACUUGCCUAAAAGAAAAAACAAUACAUAUUAAAAGAUCUGCAGGCAGUAAGUUAGACUAGAACUGCAUCUAGAAAUUUUCCAGUGUCUGGCAGUUAACAAAGGAUUUUUUGAAACAGGUACACACUUCAGUGCAUUGUUAGUUGCAACUAGUAUUUCACCUUUAGUCUUGUUCCAAUAUUAUUAUGGUCUUCUAAAGGAAUGAGAGAUUAGUAAGGUGUUCAUCUUUCAUAAAUCCUGAUUGUAUCAAAUAUGUAGUAUUUCUUGCUGACCUGAUGAGAAAUCCAAUCCUUGGUCUUUUCCUCUCAUGCCUUCAGCUUGUGAGAAGUGCUUUGUUGAAACCUCAAUGAGCUUCUUGGAUUCAAUUUUAACAGGCAAUUCAAUAACUAAUUCCUUUCUUGAAAAGCUGAUGUAGUCCAGUCCCUACAAGAUUUUUUCUGUCUGUAAGGAAUGAAGCUAAAUCAAGCAGAAUACAACUUCUUCUUUAGAUAUCUCUUUUUUCAUGGUUCAGCAGGAAAACAAGGUUUCUGUCUGGUAGUUUCAUAUGUGGGAUAUUUAUCCAGGGUAAAUGGAGAUUUUUUUGUUGGAAUCAAAACUUUUUAGGAAACCAUUGUAGUCAAAUGCUUCAAGAAGUCAGCAGUUUAGGAUUUUAAUAUGUGCUUAAUCUAAGCUUGUUUUUAUUUUCAUAAAAGUAGCGUUCAGUGCUUUGCAAUGUAAUGUUCAGGGACAGAUACCUAGAAUAAUCCUUUUGAUUAACUUGGCAGAAUUUCCUUCCUAUUACCAUUAAUAUUUUGCUGUUAGUAGCUUUAUUUCUCUGAAUAAGUGCAUCUUUUAAUAGCCCAGACACUUAAAGAAAGAUUACUUUGGAGCAGAAUAAAGAUGUUUACUCUCAUACAGCUAGAGGUCUCAGUUUUGCAAACUGUAUAAGGCACAUACAAGACAACCAAGUGAUCAGGCCCAGUCAGCUUAUCAGGUCCUGUUUGACCUGAUCUCCUUCUACAAGAAGGUGACUCGCUUAGUAGAUGAGGGAAAGGCUGUGGAUUUUGUGUACUUAGACAUCAGUAAGGUCUUUGAUACUCUAUCCCACAACAUCUCCUGGAGAAGCUGGCAGCUCAUGGCCUGGAUGGCCAUGAACAGUGAACGGAGUCAAAUCCUGUUGGUGGCCAGUCAUGAGUGGUGUUCCCCAGGGUUCAGUAUUGGGGCCAGUUCUGUUUAACAUCUUUAUCAAUGAUCUGGAUGAGGGGAUUGAGUGCACCCUCAGUAAGUUUGCAGAUGACACCAAAUCAGGUGGGAGUGUUGGUUUGCUGGAUGGUAGGAAGUUCGUACAGAGGGAUCUGGACCAGCUGGAUCGUUGGGCUGAGGCCAAUUGUAUAAGGUCUAACAAGACCAAGUGCCGGGUCCUGCAUUUGGGUCACAACAACCCCAUGCAGCGCUACAGGCUCAGGGAAGAGUGGUUGGAAAGCUGCCUGGUAAAGGGGGAUCUGGAGGUGGUGGUUGACAGCUGGCUGAACACGAGCCAGCAGUGUGCCCAGGUGGAGAAAAAGGCCAAGAGCAUCCUGGCUUGUAUCAGGAAUAGUGUGGCCAGCAGGACUAGGGAACUGAUUAUCCCCCUGUACUCAGCACUGGGGAGACCCCACCUUGAAUACUGUGUUCAGUUUUGGGCACCUCAUUAUAGGAAAGACAUUGAGGUACUAGAAGGAGUUCAGAGAAGGGUGACAAAGCUGGUGAGGGGCCUGGAGCACAAGUCAUGUGAGGAACAGUUAAGGGAACUGGGCCUGUUUAGCCUGGAAGUAGCAAGUGAUAGGACAAGAGAAAAUGGCCUGAAUUUGCACCAGGGGAGGUUUAGAUUGCAUAUUAUGAAAAAACUAUUCACGUAAAGGGUUGUGAAGCGGUGGAACUGGCUACCCAGAGAAGUGGUGGAGUCACCAUACCUGGAGGCAUUUAAAAGGUGAUGAGGUUCUUAGGGACAUGGUUUAGCGCUAGAGUUAGGUUAUGGUUGGAUUUGAUGAUCCUGAGGGUCUCUUCAAACCAAAAUGAUUCUAUAAUUCUAUGAUUAUGUAUCAAAUGGUUAGGAGAGGAUGGAAAUUGACUCCAAGAGUUUAGAAACUUCCAUUUCUCUGUGUAAUCUUGCUCUUAGCAGGAGAAAAUUGAAUAAUUCAGAUUCUCCUCUAACUCUCUUUGGAAACUUCCUUUUUCUGUCAUCCUAUUACUAAAUUAUGUUUAUUAUAUCAAUAACAAUUUAUAGAAAUGACACUGCGUAUUAGCAAACAAUAUAUGCCCUUUGCUAAUUAAUACAUCCAUUAAAAUAGGGGGGGUCAUUCUAUAAUCAGAAAUCUAAGUAAGAAAAUAUUGUGUUAAUUGUUCAUAAAGUAAAAUGUCAAUGCUCUCAAAAAUAAUUAAAUAUUUAAUGCAAAAAUAACUGUAAAACCCAUUUAAUUAUGCUAUUCUCCUUUUAAAUUCCCUGUGCUGGCUUUCUCUUGGCUUUUUAGUCAAGUUAAUGUUUUGUGUUUCCACCUAGAAGCAGCCCAUUAUCCAAAUAGACAGGAAACCUGUUAUAAUUUGCAUUUAUCAAAGCGAUUUUGCUUUUGAAUUUGGCAUUUACUAAAAAACUUGCCUUUAUGCAAAACAAUUCUUACCAGCUCUGCUUCUGUGACUGCUCAUUUUUUUUGAAGCUUGAACAACUGUCGGUAAUAGAUUUUAACAACUUCCUUUAAUUGUUUCUAGCAAAGACAAAACAAAAUAAACCUCUUUCCCCCAAAUUCCUAGAAAAAAUUGUAAGUACAACAUAGCACACAAUUUUUACAGCAGUUGUGAAGAACAGACUUCAAUCAUAUUUUUACUUGAAGAAAUGUGUGGCUAGUUUCCUUUUCUUCAGUCACUUGUACAGUGGAAGUGCUGUAACUUAAUGUAAUGUAAUUAAUUUGGCUUUUAAAUUCCAAGUCAGGAGCGAUCCAUUUAAUCCAUGCAAACUGACUUUUGGAUUGCGCCUCUGUUAUACAAAGCUGGACAACUGCAAUGUAUCCUUCACUUGACAACUUAGAUUAAGCUAGAAACUUUAGUAGAUUUUUUAUUUUCACAAUAAAGUUAGAAGUGAUGGAAGGUGUGAAAUGAUUCUGUCUUGUUUCAGAACUAGACCAAAGAGCCAAGUUCAGAGGAUGAAUCUAGGAAAUUAAGAUUUAAGCAAUUUAUAAACCAAUCCAUAAGUAAAAAUCUUGCUCUCAAGAGAAAUGGGUUGAAUCAUAUCUUUUAAAGUUACAAUUUAUUCAUACUUCUCUGCAGUAAAACUUAGAUAUUGUCAACAAUAAAAAUCACAUUAUACUAGACAACAUAAAAGUUAUAUAGCGUAGGAAUGUAUCCAGAGCAAGUAAAGUGAAAAUCAUUGGCUGGUAAAUUCCAUGACUACUUAGACUUAUGCAACUAUAAACCUAGCAGUAGUUAUCUGGAAAAUUAUUAAAGGAAAACAUUUUAAUAUUAUCUUGCAGAAAUGAACAAACAAACAAACACACAUCCACCUUCAUGUUACUGUCUGUCUAUUCAUACUCAUUAUAUGACAGUAGAAAUAGCAUAUGUCCUAGGAGUUCAGCCUAGGUUUUUGGUUCUGGUUUUGUUGUUGUUCUGGUUAGGUUUUUAGUAACACAUUAAUAAAAUAAGGCAGACAAACACAAUGAAUGCAUUAAUUUCAGUAUAGUCUAAAUUAGCAGAAGGAGAACCAACAUAUUGAAUAGUUGCAUGCAAAAAAAGUUGGGAAGUAAAGAAGUAAAAGAGAUGUGGUUUUAGACUUAAGCACUGCUGUGGAGGCUUCAUUAUACUUCCACUUCUGACUUAUGUUGCGACUAUCUAGAAAAUGAGCUCUACUGAGCUUUAGGAGCAAAGGGCCAUAGCAUCACAGGACAGAUACUUAAGGUUGGAAGAGGCCUCAGGACAUCUCUAGCCCAGCCCCUCACUACAGCAGGGUCUGCUCUGAGGGCAGCAUUGGACCGGAGGAGUAAGAACAAAUACUUGCUUUCUCCAAGUAGGGCCAAUUCCUCUCAAACUGGUGCUCUGUGAGGAUACUAGCUCAUGGUGGCAAGCUUUUGAUAGCCGAUGUUGGGAGGAAACAUCCAAAGAGUACAAGGUGUUGACUCCUACACUCUACCCAUUGCCUUAUUUAUAUGGUAUUAGGACUUUCAAUGGUACUUAGUCUGUGCUUCAAAAUAAGCAGUACCAGGUACUAUUCAAAUUCUGAAACUCAGCAAGCUAUUCUGUCACGAUGUUAAAAUGUCCACAGUCAGUUUUAGGGGACCAAAAGCUCUCUCCUAGAAAAUUCUUGGAUCCCACUUAGGAGUUAGAAAUUACUCAAAACUGAUUCCAAUAGACAGCUUGCUAUCCUGUUCAGGAAAUAAAAUAUGUUUAAGUGUAAGAUUGCAGGCUCUGUAGUGCUGGAGUGCCAGAAAGCAGCUCAGGUUGUGUUUGUUAUCCAGGUUUGCAAAGGAAAGUUAGUCUCCUGAAUCACCACCGUGAAUCUGAAACACUGAAGUGUGAGCAAAGGCUUGCAUUUUUAUCAGGGCUUGUUUUUCUCCUUUUGUCCUUUAACGGAUCUGCUAGAUCUGACUAAUUUUUCUUCCUUUUUCCUUUCUAACUUUUAUGUUGGAUAAGCUGGUCCCCAUGAAAACGAAGAUGAAAAUCUUUAUCAUUUUCCAGCAAUCUAUUAUAUAUAUGUUUUACUAGAAUUUCUUCUACUAUCAGUUCCUUCAAUACUGCUUUUUUUUUCUCAUAAGCAUAUGCCCAAAGCUGAAGUAGGAGAUAGUUAAAGCAUGUAAGAAACACUCAUCACCAGCUGCAGUAAAGAUAAUGCAUUACUUCAGUUACUAAUAAUAUUGUUAAAAUGUUCUGAAGCAUCAAGCCAAUAACCAGUGGUUAAAUGGUCCCAGACAGACUAAAUGGACUCAAUACAGUUAAAGGCAGUAUAUCUAGACUGCUGGUAGGACAUAAUUUCCACUUCUGGUAUCCACAUUUCCAGAUGAAGUAGAAAUACCAGUAAGAGCUAAAACAAACAAAAAAACAAACAAACAAACAAACAAAAACGCACAAAAAAACCCCUCAAGAAUUGGAAACAUAAUGUAGGCUAUUAAAGCUCAGUCUACUCAGUUUCUGUAAAAAAGGAUUUAGAGGUAACUUGAUAAGUAUGUCAGACACUGAAAAGACCAUCAAUUUCCUGGAGCCUUUCAGUCUUUCAGAGAAAGUCAUAGUAAGAUUAAGAGGAUGUAAAAUGAAAUUAGUCAAAAUGAACCAGGAAAUCAACUGCCAUUUCCUAGAAGUGCCAGCUGGCACUCAAAAAAUGCAUCAGGAGAGUGACAGAACCUCCAUCACUUACUGCAUUAGAAGGAAAUGAGAUAUCUACAUAAGAAGUUAGAACCAUAGGAAAAAUACACAGCUUCAAAGGAAAAAGGAAGAAAAUCAGCCCGGCAGUAAAAUGAACACUGAAUGCUGGAUGUGGUCUGUAGUCAGUGUGAGUGUGCAGACAGGCAGUUUCAGCUACUGAGUGUUUCUUGUUAUCCUAUUGCUACUUUCCAUAAUGAAUAUAUUUUUAGCUACUACAUGUAUUUUUUAUAAAUGGGUGUUUUUGGAGACAGUGCCAUCCUAACACUAGUCAGAUUAAACCCCACCAUUCCUGAAAUUAACAACAGGCACUGAAAUUGGGAUUUGAAGGCAGCCACUCUGAGACUUGAUUCCUUUGAUUGCAGUGAUCUCCAUUUCCUACUGUACCAUCAAAACUGAAUCACUUCAAAGAGAUAAGCCUUGCUCUGUAAAUGUUGUUCCACUUCCUACCUCAGCUUCUCAGGGAAAAAAUCUCUUAAGGGAGAAGAGUCCCCAGAAAGUCUGCUUUAGAGGGUUAGGAAUCAUGAGUGCUGGUCAGUUUCUAAGAACUGGCUUUUAAAAGCACAGGAGCCAGCAUUUUCAUAGUCUGAAAGCUCAGGCACAUGGGGCAGAAGGCCAGCUUCACUAAACAGGGAACUCCUUUUGGAACUCAGGUUAAAAAAUAAAUUGUACAAUCUCUGGAAAGACAGCUCAGGCUUCACAGGAGGAUUACAGAGCCAUGGUUUACAUAUGCAGGGUAAAGACAUGGAUGGCCAAAGCUGAACUACAGUUGAAACUGGCUAGUGUUGUAUCAGACAACAAGAGCUUUUUAAAGUACUUUAAUAGCAAAAGGAGGUCUAAAGAAUACACUGGACCAAUACUUGUUUAAGAUGGCCACCUGAGAAACAUUCAACACUUUUUUUGCCUCAGUCUUUUAGCAAUUCUGAUAGACAUUGGGCUGCCUGGUCCUCUGAGUUGGAGGACCACAACUUCGGGAACCAUGACUUUGGAUUUGUGGGCACUCAAACAGUAAAAGAUCAAUUGUAUCACAGAAUGUUAGGAAUUGGAAGGAACCUCGAAAGGUCAUCUAGUCCCACCCUCCCACUGGAGCAGGAACACCUGUAUGAGGUUACACAGGAAGGCACCCAGGAGGGUUUUGAAUGUCUCCAGAGAAGCAGACUCCACAACCUCCCUGGGCAGCCUAUUCCAGUGUUCUGUUACCCUCACUGUGAAGAAGUUUCCUCUUCUUCCUCCUCCUCUUCUUCCUCCUCCUCUUCUUCUUCUUCUUCUCCUUCUUCUUCUUCUUUUUCCUCCUCCUCCUUUAAGUGGAACCUCCCGUGUUCCAGUUUGCACCCAUUGCCCCUUGUCUUAUCACUGGUUGUCACCAAGAAGAGCCUGGCUCCAUCCUCAUGACACUCACCCUUUACAUAUUUAUAAACAUUAAUGAGGUCACCCCUCAGUCUCCUCCAAGCUAAAGAGAGCCAGCUCUCUUAGUCUUUCCUCAUAAGGGAGAUGCUCCACUCCCUUAAUCAUCGAUUCUGUGAUUCUGUGUCAACUGAAUGUUCAUAAACCCAUGGGGCCUGGUGAGAUUCAUCCCAGAGUACUGAAGGAUCUAAUGGAUGGUGCAGCAGGACACCUCUCAGGCACCUACUAAAGAUCUUGGGAGCCUGGGGAGGCCACCACUGACAGGAAGCUAGCCAACAUUACUCCAGUUUACAAGGAGGGCAUGAGGGAAGACCCAGGAAAGUACAGACAUGUUAGACUAACCUCAGCACCUGGAAAAAAUUAUGGACAAGAUCAUAUCAGGUGCUACUGAAAGGCAUUUAAAGCACAAUUAAAUUGUCAGGCACAAAUGACAUGGGUCUAUGAGGGGAAAGUCUUGUUUAGCUAAUCUUAGUCUUCUAGGAUUAGGUCACCCAUCUAGUGGAGGAAGGGAAAGUGGUGGAUGUUGGUUUUCUGGAUUUUAGUGUGGCUUUUGAUACUGCUCUUCUGGACAAGUUCUACAGCCAUGAGAUGAGCAGGUACACAGUGUAUGGCAUGAUGAACUGGCUGAACAGCAGGGCUCAAAGAGUUGUAGUGAAUGGUGCUACAUCUGGCUGGCAGCCAGCCACCACUGCUUGUUUUCAGGGCUCAGUUCUAGGGCCAAUUGUGUUUGAUAUUUUUAUCUGUCAUCUGAAGGGAGGAGUUGAAUGUACCAUGAGUAAGUUUGCUGAUGAUACUAAAUUUGGAAGUGCGGUUGGCUCUCUCAAGGGAUGAGACCUUACAGGCCCAUCUAGAUAGACUGAAACAUUAGGCAACCAUCAAUGGCAUGAACUUUCACAAGAACAAAUGCCAGACUCUGCACCUGGGACAGAGUAAUGCUGAACAUAAGGAAAAAUUGGGAGAGGAGUGACUGAAGAGCAGCCCUGCAGAAAGGGAGCUGGGGGUCCUGGUUGACAGCAGGAUCAAUAUGAGUCAGCAGUGGGACCCCUGGCAGCCCAGAGAGCAAAUCUCUGCAUCCUGGGGUGCAUCAAACACAGCAUAACCAGCUGGUCAAAAGAGGACAUUAUCCUGCUGUAUUUAGUGGUGGUGUGGCCUCACUUUGAGUGUUGUGUGCAGUUCUGGGCUCCAAAGUUUGUCUGUCUUUAAAAAACAAUGUUAAGGUCCUUGAAUGCAUCCAGAGGAGGGCAGUCUUGCUGGUGGAAGGUCCGGAAAGCAUGUCCUGUGAGGACUGACUGAGAACUCUGAGUUUGUCUGGUUUGGAGAAAAGAGGGCUGAUGGGAAACCUCAUUGCUCUCUGCAGCUUCCCAUGGAGGGGAAGUGGAGAAGGAGGUGCUGAUCUCUUCUUCCUGGUAUCCAGUGACAGAAUGCCUGGGAAUCAUUCAAAGCUGCACCAGUGGAGGCUUAGACUGGACAUUAGGAAGCAUUCCUUUACCAACAGGGACCUUUAUCAACAGGAACACACUUCCUAGAGAGGUGGUCAGUGCCUCAUACCUGUCAGAGUUUAAGAGGCAUUUGGACAAUGAAUUAUUAAAAUGUCUAAAAUCUAUUUCUGUUUCUUAAGAACCUUCAGUACUGAAUAUUAAUUGCGUUGGAAGUAUGGAUCUAAAAAAAAAUCACAUUUAUACAGAUUUUUACCACGCACAAACCCUAAAAAAUGCUGGGACCAAGUAGUCUAACAACUUCACAGGAAUAAAACUUUCUUCAAAUGCCUGCAUACCUAUUGUGUUUACAAAAGUCAGCAUGACAGUCGUGUACAAUGUUUUCCCAAUUUCUGCAUCAGAAGCUUCAUACAUAGUGACAGUGUGUGCAGUUUUAUAGGAACAUGCACUGCUAGUUGGCCAAAGAAAAAAGGAAUUCCAUAUUCAGUUAAACUUAUACAUUCUGGUUUCCAGUGUAAGACUCCUGCACAUUGUAUUCAGUUUAAUAGGCUAAGUUUGUAGUUUUCCCUCCUCUCUAAGGUCUGUCUUCUCUGUUUGACUAUCUUUUUUCCUUAAAAAAAAUGUAUUGGAAGAUAAUAUCUUUGAGAACUCUUGCUAUCAUAUCUAGACGAAAUGGGCCAGCAUUUUUCAUUAUUAGGAGAGGCUAGCAGAAAGGCUUUUGUAUUUUUAUGCAGAUAAUGUGGUCAUGAAGUUUGUUUUCUUAGAAAGCCAGACUAAACGCACAACUUACCUACAAUAAUAUUUCUUUUAAAAGACAGUGCAAUCAAGCUGAGAGACAAAGAAAAAGAAAGAUGGUAUUUUUGCACAGUUUAUAAUGCUUCAUUCUGCUAUAAAUGCUGACAUUAUUCAGCUUUACAUUUAUUGUCAUUGAAAUGUAAGAGGACUGAAAAAUUUGCAAUUUACACCCAAUUAAGAACAUUUAGGAAUAGGAUUCUAUCAAGAACAAAACCAGUCUUCAAAGUCUGUCAAGUUCCACAAAAUGUUUGCAAUGUGUAUGUGUAUUUAUUCAUUGUUAUGUAUUGUAUUAUUUCCAAACCAUAUUUUGGAAUACCCCUUUUCCUGGUAAUGUAGAUACAAAGGCAUAAUAUUCUCUGUCAUGCUGAGAUAUUAGUCCUUCAGAUUUUUGUUAUAACCCUUAUUUUGAAUGUUAACCAAUUAGAAGCUCACACUCAGAACCAAAAUACAAUUUCAAGUGUUCAAGGAAGUUUAAAAUAUAUAAUAUAACAAUAAAAAUAAAUUAAAUAUUCUUCCAAGGAGGCAAGAAUGGCUAUUAUCUGCAAGGUUCAAAUUUAUGGAUGGUCUUGUCAUUUCCUCGUAUGUUUCUUAUUCUGUCCUAUUGAACCUUCCUCAUAUUAGAUGUUCUGAAAUGAACAGAAAGUAGAGUGUGAAUCUGGGAGAUUAUAGGUAUUUUUCAAUUUUUAUUAAUCACCAAACAAGUAGAUAAAGCUUUUACUGAAUUUGAAACACGAGUGACAUGUCUCCUGAAUAAUACUACAGAAAUAGUGUCAGAAGGACACUGGGCAGGAUAUGAGAAAGCUCUUUGUUACCUACUGUAUAUGAAAUGAAGUGCUCAUUUGUUUCCUUUAAGAGAAACAGAAAAGAUUGCAAAUGUAUGUUGCUCAUGUAGUCUUAAUUCCUGAUGCAUAUUCAUACACAAAGCUACUGAAUCAAAGCCUAAAGUGUAUGUCAGUAAUUACUAAGAGAAUGCUUAUACCUGCAUAAUUUAAUUAUCUAGAAGAGUUUGAACUUUUACAUGCCCUCUAAUCUACUUCCUUAUAUGAGUUUUCUUUUCUUAUUAAAUUGCAGUGUUCGUUAAUGUGGAUUUUUGAUAAAUUCUACAGUCCUGUUUACCUCAAACUGCUCACAGAACUGCCCUUUUCCAAGACACACAAUCUAAGAAAGCACUUUUUUCAUUGUUAAAAGCAGCUACAGACUGAAAAGAAUGCUGGGAAACUCAGAAUCUUUAUUAAUACAGUAAUAUUUUUCAUACAUGUUCAAAUUUGAACGUGUGCUCACAUAAAGAAGCAUCAUCACCCUUACCAACGUAACUAACCACAGUGGUGAAGACGAAAGUCUCACAGACCAAUGUUUGCUAUGUGAUACACAGCAGGUUAUUAAACAUACACCCCGAAGUAAGCGAAGUAUGACAUGCAGCUCCAUUAGAUGUAACAAAUAGAAGUCAUUAUAAAAGGAGAUUUACAGAAUCUAUUACUGUUUCCUACUGAAAAUAAACACUAAAUGAAGUCCUAAAGGACAGAUAAGUCAUGGAAUACUAAAAAAGACUACUUACACAGCACUUUGUUCCCUAGGGGUCCAGUUUAAGGCAAGCCAAGCUGAGGACAACAAAGAGCAGAUAUAAAAAGUGUUUAAACCUUGGGGAAGUAUGAAAGGCCAUUGUAUGAAGGGAUAACUCAUAAUCUGAGCAGCUGCUUUACAAAAACAACAAGGAAAAAGAAAUAAAUAGAAAAUAAUAAAAAAUUAAUGACACAUUAUUUUGUUCAUCCUGAAAGCACUAGUAAAAGGGGUACCACUUAGUGAAACAAGCGCAAUUCAGCAAAAAAAAAAAAAUGUGACUUAUUUUUGACAAACUGCUUGCAGAAAUUGCCAAAAAUCUCUCUAUUUGUUCUACACUGUAAGCUUGGUGCAGGUAUUGCCAGUUAGUCCUUGUCAUUGCUUUUGAUAUCACAAGUAUCUGCCCGUGGAAAUGACAGACGUGGUGGUCAAAGAGUAAAUGCAAUGUACUGCACAAAGAUUUUGGAAUCUGCAUGUCACCUACACGGUCAGCAAUGUUCAUUUCUAAGAACAAAAAGAUUUUGAAAGGUGAGGUUGUACAGGUUUCUGGGUAAAUCGGAAAGAAAAUAAAAGCUGAAGAAAAAUGUCCAAAGGGAAAAUAUUCCUGUCUCACCUCUUCAUUUCUAUCAGAUGUUUCAGAUUUACAGAGAGCACUGACAAUAAUUGAAACUCUUGUGAGGUAGAAGUAUAUAAUGAAUAAUAUAAGUAUUUCAUACCUGACCUCCAUCCCAAAGUACCUGAUAAUAUUUUAUAUAUUUUGGAUCUAAGCCUACAAGACUUAGUGCUGCUGACUCAAUUUCUAUUUUACUGGUGUUCCACUCAAGCACAAAAAUCUGCCUGCAAACUUACAGGUAGAACUGACCUUGUGAAAUUGGGCUGCUACACAGAUCUGUACUUUCUCAUGCAAAAGAAUAUGAAACUCUUGCCAGACAUCUUCUGAGGCUUAACUCUCCUGGCUGGAAACCUUCCCGUUCCAAGGUGUUCACCACGGCCCUAGUUGGUUGUCAUUAUCCCCUCAUCUCUUCCUGGAGGGUAUUCAGGUAAACAUUCAUAUUUCUGUCUGGGUUAGUUUAACAUCCAUCCAUGCAUCCAUCCAUCCAUCCAUCCAUCCUCCUCUCGCCCCACCGAAGUAUAAAACAAACUACUUUAUAUGAAGUGACUACUACUCUGAGUCAGAGGGACAUAAGAAACAGGUAAGCAGAAAUAAUACCACAUCUCUUUGCGAACUGAAUAUUUGCCCAUCUCUACUAUACAAACAGUCUGCAACAGGUUUGAACAGGACUUCAGUUAUCUGCACUAUCCUAAAAUUAGUUUACGCCACAGUCUUUUCCUCUUGGUUGAGAAGCUGGCAUCCAGAACAGCUGAUUUAACAAAACUUUGUAGCAAUGUAUGCUAUUGAAAUGUUAAGCAUCUGAGGGCUGAGGAAAGCUUAUACUUACAAUUUUGGCAAUCAGCCACCCUUUCAAACUGAUCGAAGUUUACUCCUUUGCAGUAAAACACUAAUGAUUUUUAAACUAUGAAAUUAUAUCUAUGUCUUAGCUUACUGUUCCAAUUCUUCACUACAUCAGCAUCAGUUGCUGCUUUUGAUGUGAAACUUUGUGAUUUCGGUGGUGGUGGUGGUGAUUUGUUGUGUCUUUUCAGGUUUGUGUGUGGGAUUUUUGUUUUUCCAUUGUUGUUUUUUGGGGGCUUUGUUUGUGGGGUUUUUUUUUGGUUGUUUGUUUGUUUGUUUUGUGGUUUUGUUUUUGUUUUUCAUUCAGCUGGUCUCAUCCUGGAGUAGAAACCAGAGCUUAUUAGAGAACAUUCCAGGACAUUACAGAGCAGCAGAGUACAGGCCGCAAUUUGCUUUCACCUGGAGAGGCAUUCAGUACACAUGGAAUCGCUUGCCCCAGGGGUGGAAACACAGUCCUACCAUCUGCCAUGGACUGAUCCAGACCACGCUGGAGCAAGGUAAAGCUCCAGAACACUUGCAAUAUAUUGAUGACAUCAUCGUAUGGGGCGACACAGCGAAAGAAGUCUUCGAGAAAGGUGAGAGAAUAAUUCAGAUUCUUUUGGAUGCUGGUUUUGCCAUAAAACGAAGCAAGGUCAAGGGACCUGCACGAGAGAUCCAGUUUUUAGGAAUAAAAUGGCAAGAUGGCCGUCGUCAGAUCCCAAUGGAAGUGAUCAACAAAAUUGCAGCAAUGUCUCCACCUACUAAUAAAAAGGAGACACAGACUUUCUUAGGUGUUGUAGGUUUUUGGAGAAUGCAUAUUCCUGACUACAGCCAGAUUGUGAGCCCUCUCUAACGAGUGACUCGUAAAAAGAACCAAUUUGAGUGGGGCCCUGAACAACGACAAGCCUUUGAACAAAUUAAGCGUGAGAUAACUCAUGCGGUGGCCCUUGGACCAGUUCGGACUGGACUAGAUGUUAAAAAUGUGCUCUACACCGCAGCCAGAGAUAAUGGACUUACCUGGAGCCUCUGGCAGAAAGCACCAGGAGAAACCCGAGAUCGACCCUUAGGUUUUUGGAGUUGAGGAUACAAAGGAUCUGAGGCCAACUACACUCCAACUGAAAAAGAGAUACUAGCAGCAUACGAAGGAGUUCGAGCUGCUUCAGAAGUGAUCGGUACUGAAGCACAGCUCCUCCUGGCACCUCGACUGCCGGUGCUGAGCUGGAUGUUCAAAGGGACGGUUCCCUCUCCACAUCACGCAACCGAAGUUACGUGGAGUAAAUGGAUUGCAUUGAUCACGCAACGAGCUCGAAUUGGAAAUCCCAAUCGCCCAGGGAUCUUAGAAGUGAUUACAGACUGGCCAGAAAGCAAAGACUUUGGGAUGUCUCCAGAUGAGGAGGAAGUAAAACGUGCUGAAGAAGCACCACCAUAUAAUACUCUUUCAGAGACUGAUAAGCAGUAUGCACUGUUCACAGAUGGAUCCUGUCGUCUUGUAGGAAAACAUCGAAGGUGGAAAGCUGCUGUGUGGAGUCCCACACGACAAGUUACAGAAGCCACUGAAGGACAAGGUGAAACUAGUCAAUUUGCAGAAGUGAAAGCCAUCCAGCUGGCUUUGGACAUUGCUGAACGAGAGAAGUGGCCAAUACUUUAUCUCUAUACUGACUCAUGGAUGGUAGCAAAUGCCUUGUGGGGGUGGCUACAGCAAUGGAAGAAAAGCAACUGGCAGCGCAGAGGUAAACCCAUUUGGGCUGCCACACUGUGGCAAGACAUUGCUGCUCGGCUAGAGAGCCUGCCUGUGAAAGUUCGGCACGUAGAUGCUCAUGUGCCUAAAAGUCGAGCCACCGAGGAACAUCUAAACAACCAACAAGCAGAUCAAGCUGCUAAGAUUAAAGUAGCUGAGGUGGACUUGGACUGGCAACAUAAAGGUGAACUUUUCCUAGCUCGGUGGGCCCAUGAUGCUUCAGGGCAUCAAGGUAGAGAUGCAACGUAUAAAUGGGCUCGCGAUCGAGGGGUGGAUUUAACUAUGGACACUAUUUCACAGGUUAUUCAUGAAUGUGAGACUUGCGGCGAAAUCAAACAAGCGAAACGGUUAAAGCCUGUAUGGUAUGGGGGGUGAUGGUUAAAGUAUAAGUAUGGAGAAGCUUGGCAGAUUGAUUAUAUUACACUUCCACAAACACGUCAAGGUAAGCAUUAUGUACUUACAAUGGUGGAAGCAACCACUGGAUGGUUGGAAACAUAUGCCGUACCUCAUGCUACAGCCCGAAAUGCUAUCUUGGGCCUUGAAAAGCAAGUCCUUUGGCGACAUGGUACACCAGAAAGAAUUGAAUCAGACAAUGGUACUCAUUUCAAAAACAGUAUUAUAGACAAUUGGGCCAAAGAACAUGGUAUUGAGUGGGUAUAUCAUAUUCCAUAUCAUGCACCAGCCUCUGGGAAAAUUGAAAGGUACAAUGGUUUGCUAAAAACUACACUAAAGGCACUUGGUGGUGGAACCUUUAAAAACUGGGAUUCACAUUUAGCAAAAGCCACUUGGUUGGUCAACACCAGGGGAUCAACCAAUCGAGGCGGGCCUGCCCAAUCAGAAACUCUACGGACUGUAGAAGGAGAUAAAGUCCCUGUAGAACACAUGAAAAACAUGUUAGGAAAGGCAGUCUGGGUUACUCCUGCCUCAGGCAAAGGCAAGCCCAUUCGUGGGAUUGUUUUUGCCCAGGGACCUGGCAGCACUUGGUGGGUGAUGCUUAAGGAUGGAGAAGUUCGGUGUGUACCUCAAGGGGAUUUGAGUUUAGGUGAAAAUAUACAAUACUGAACUGCAUGAUGUGAAUUGCCAUGCUAACAGUGUUUAAUAAGUGUCUUCCAGAUCAAGACAGUGAUGAUGAAACCAGAGCUAGCUUCUUCGAGUGGCGCCUGACAACUUCUUCGAAGUUGAUGUCUUUAACCCACAAACAGUGGUCAUGAGAUGCACUUGUAUCAUUUUUCCUGCCCUGGGAGACUGUCGUGACAAAAUGAACUUAAUGAACUUUUUAAAGGAUGGUCCACUGAUUAAUUACUCCUGUGUAUAUAUGUACAUAUGAAUAUAUAUAUAUAGUAGUAGUGAUUAAUUAGAUUGUAUUGAUAGAUUGUAUUGAUAAGGUUUAAGCAUUCAGUGAAUGGCAUAUUAUAAGGGGUGGAAUGUCCUGGUUUUGCUAAAAACAAGUUUCUCUUUUAGUGAAUUUUGCCUGUCAGCUAAAGCCUUCAUAUUAACUGCAUUUUCCUGGAGAACCAGACACAUGUUUUGGUAAACCUAGCAAUUGAAUGCAAACUUAUUGAUAAGCACGGAUGGACAUCUCGCGAGAGGGGCGACGAGAAGCAAGUGACCAAGAAACUGACCAACUGUGUAUAACAUCCCAUUCACGUGAAUACUUCAUAUAAAGUGGGAGAUCACGAGGAUCUCGUCCCUUUUUGCCUUUUCCCUUCUGCUUAUGGCCGACAUUAGAAGAGGACCUUGCUAGUCGUCCCUGCAAACUGAGGCCUAGUGACAGACUGAAUCCAGCUCCGAUUGGCUGCAGAGUCUAAUCCAGGACUUCAGGUGCCAGCUCUGCAGUUGCUGAGACUUUCAAGAUUGGUUUUGUAUAUUUUGUAUUAUUUUCUCUAUUCUAAUUAGUAGCAUUAGUAAAACAUCUUUAAUUUUU
Columba livia (rock pigeon) is the source of this 18481-nucleotide RNA transcript. It is a transcript of the gene named ST8 alpha-N-acetyl-neuraminide alpha-2,8-sialyltransferase 4, with no coding region annotated. The record is from RefSeq and is a predicted model, not a curated record. The transcript has 8 exons. Lineage: Eukaryota; Metazoa; Chordata; Aves; Columbiformes; Columbidae.